UACGUAGGGGGCAAGCGUUAUCCGGAUUUACUGGGUGUAAAGGGGGCGCAGACGGCGAUGCAAGCCAGGAGUGAAAGCCCGGGGCCCAACCCCGGGACUGCUUUGGAAACUGCCAUGCUAGAGUGCUGGAGAGGUAAGCGGAAUUCCUAGUGUAGCGGUGAAAUGCGUAGAUAUUAGGAGGAACACCAGUGGCGAAGGCGGAUGACUGGACGGCAACUGACGGUGAGGCGCGAAAGCGUGGGGAGCAAACAGG
This 253-nucleotide ribosomal RNA is filed under the name uncultured Eubacteriales bacterium. Its description in RNAcentral is "uncultured Clostridiales bacterium partial 16S ribosomal RNA". It matches the Rfam family "Bacterial small subunit ribosomal RNA", at positions 524 to 776 of the family's 1533-position model. The record is from RNAcentral. Lineage: Bacteria; Bacillati; Bacillota; Clostridia; Eubacteriales.